CAAUAGCGUAUAUUAAAGUUGUUGCAGUUAAAAAGCUCGUAGUUGGAUUUCGGGGCAGCCUGGCUGGUCCGCCGCAAGGCGAGUACUGGUCAGCCGCCCUUCCUCUCGAAAGCCCCGACUGCUCUUUAUUGCAGUGGUCGGGUAGUUCGGGACGUUUACUUUGAAAAAAUUAGAGUGUUCAAGGCAGGCCUACGCCUGAAUACAUUAGUAUGGAAUAAUGGAAGAGGACCUCGGUCCUAUUUUGUUGGUUUCCAGGACCGAAGUAAUGAUUAAGAGGGACAGUUGGGGGCAUUCGUAUUUAAUUGUCAGAGGUGAAAUUCUCGGAUUUAUGAAAGACGAACAACUGCGAAAGCAUUUGCCAAGGAUGUUUUCAUUAA
This 377-nucleotide ribosomal RNA is filed under the name uncultured eukaryote. RNAcentral describes it as "partial 18S ribosomal RNA". It matches the Rfam family "Eukaryotic small subunit ribosomal RNA", at positions 592 to 976 of the family's 1831-position model. The record is from RNAcentral.